This 446-nucleotide ribosomal RNA is filed under the name uncultured bacterium. RNAcentral's name for it is "partial 16S ribosomal RNA". It matches the Rfam family "Bacterial small subunit ribosomal RNA", at positions 338 to 795 of the family's 1533-position model. The record is from RNAcentral.
CCUACGGGUGGCAGCAGUCGAGAAUCAUUCACAAUGGGGGAAACCCUGAUGGUGCGACGCCGCGUGGGGGAAUGAAGGUCUUCGGAUUGUAAACCCCUGUCAUGUGGGAGCAAAUUAAAAAGAUAGUACCACAAGAGGAAGAGACGGCUAACUCUGUGCCAGCAGCCGCGGUAAUACAGAGUGCUCAAGCGUUGUUCGGAAUCACUGGGCGUAAAGCGUGCGUAGGCUGUUUCGUAAGUUGUGUGUGAAAGGCGCGGGCUCAACCCGCGGACUGCACAUGAUACUGCGAGACUAGAGUGAUGGAGGGGGAACCGGAAUUCUCGGUGUAGCAGUGAAAUGCGUAGAUAUCGAGAGGAACACUCGUGGCGAAGGCGGGUUCCUGGACAUUAACUGACGCUGAGGCACGAAGGCCAGGGGAGCGAAAGGGAUUAGAUACCCUAGUAGUC